RNAcentral lists this ribosomal RNA (522 nucleotides) under uncultured bacterium. RNAcentral describes it as "bacterial SSU rRNA". It matches the Rfam family "Bacterial small subunit ribosomal RNA", at positions 8 to 518 of the family's 1533-position model. The record is from RNAcentral.
AGAGUUUGAUUAUGGCUCAGGAUGAACGCUAGCUACAGGCUUAACACAUGCAAGUCGAGGGGCAGCAUGUUGGUUGCUUGCAACCAAUGAUGGCGACCGGCGCACGGGUGAGUAACGCGUAUCCAACCUUCCCUAUAGUAGAGGAUAGCCCGGCGAAAGUCGGAUUAAUACUCUAUGUUUUCCAAUGCAGACAUCUAAAAUGGAACAAAGGUUCACCGCUAUAGGAUGGGGAUGCGUCUGAUUAGAUAGUCGGCGGGGUAACGGCCCACCGAGUCGACGAUCAGUAGGGGUUCUGAGAGGAAGGUCCCCCACAUUGGAACUGAGACACGGUCCAAACUCCUACGGGAGGCAGCAGUGAGGAAUAUUGGUCAAUGGGCGAGAGCCUGAACCAGCCAAGUAAGCGUGCAGGAUGACGGCCCUAUGGGUUGUAAACUGCUUUUAUACAGGGAUAAAGUGACGUACGUGUACGUUUUUGUAGGUACUGUAUGAAUAAGGACCGGCUAAUUCCGUGCCAGCCGCCGC